AUUGAACGCUGGCGGCAUGCUUUACACAUGCAAGUCGAACGGUAACAGCACUUCGGUGGCUGACGAGUGGCGAACGGGUGAGUAAUACAUCGGAACGUGCCUAGUAGUAGGGGAUAACUACUCGAAAGAGUAGCUAAUACCGCAUGAGAUCUAAGGAUGAAAGCAGGGGACCUUCGGGCCUGGCGCAACUAGAGCGGCUGAUGGCAGAUUAGGUAGUUGGUGGGGUAAAAGCUUACCAAGCCGACGAUCUGUAGCUGGUCUGAGAGGACGACCAGCCACACUGAGACUGAGACACGGCCCAGACUCCUACGGGAGGCAGCAGUGGGGAAUGUUGGACAAUGGGCGCAAGCCUGAUCCAGCAAUGCCGCGUGCAGGAGGAAGGCCUUCGGGUUGUAAACUGCUUUUGUACUGAACGAAAAGCACGCUUCUAAGACAGGAGGGUCAUGACGGUAGCGGAAGAAUAAGCACCGGCUAACUACGUG
Molecule: ribosomal RNA, 482 nt
Filed under: uncultured bacterium
Lineage: Bacteria
Description: partial 16S ribosomal RNA
Rfam family: Bacterial small subunit ribosomal RNA
Source: RNAcentral